Molecule: ribosomal RNA, 447 nt
Filed under: uncultured bacterium
Lineage: Bacteria
Description: bacterial SSU rRNA
Rfam family: Bacterial small subunit ribosomal RNA
Source: RNAcentral
UGGGGAAUAUUGGACAAUGGGCGCAAGCCUGAUCCAGCCAUGCCGCGUGGAUGAAGAAGGCCCUAGGGUUGUAAAGUCCUUUCGACGGAGACGAUAAUGACGGUAUCCGUAGAAGAAGCCCCGGCUAAUUUCGUGCCAGCAGCCGCGGUAAUACGAAAGGGGCUAGCGUUGUUCGGAAUUACUGGGCGUAAAGCGCACGUAGGCGGUCGUGUAAGAUGGGGGUGAAAUCCCGGAGCUCAACUCCGGAACUGCCUUCAUGACUGCAUGGCUAGAGGAUGCGAGAGGUUGGCGGAAUUCCGAGUGUAGAGGUGAAAUUCGUAGAUAUUCGGAAGAACACCAGUGGCGAAGGCGGCCAACUGGCGCAUUUCUGACGCUGAGGUGCGAAAGCGUGGGGAGCAAACAGGAUUAGAUACCCUAGUAGUCCCUGAGCGGGCUGGCAAGGCGCAU